This 406-nucleotide ribosomal RNA is filed under the name uncultured bacterium. RNAcentral's name for it is "partial 16S ribosomal RNA". It matches the Rfam family "Bacterial small subunit ribosomal RNA", at positions 30 to 526 of the family's 1533-position model. The record is from RNAcentral.
AUCGAACGCUGGCGGCAAGCCUAACACAUGCAAGUCGAACGAGUGGCGGACGGGUGAGUAAUGGCUGGGAAACUGCCUGAUGGAGGGGGAUAACUACUGGAAACGGUAGCUAAUACCGUAUACUAUCGGAUGUGCCCAGAUGGGAUUGGCUAGUAGGUGGGGUAAAGGCUCACCUAGGCGACGAUCCCUAGCUGGUCUGAGAGGAUGGCCAGCCACACGGAGACUGAGACACAGUCCAGACUCCUACGUGCGGCAGCGGUGGGGAAUAUUGCGCGAUGGACGCAAGCCUGAUGCAGCAAUGGCGCGUGUAUGAAGAGGGCCUUCGGGUUGUAAAGUACUUUCAGCGGGGAGGCGUUACCCGCAGAAGAAGCACCGGCUAACUCCGUGCCAGCAGCCGCGGUAAUUC